UGCAACUGUCAGAAAAAUCUGGCUCCCUGGUCCCCUCACUGCUAGCUUUAUUGCCUACGUGUCUCUCUAAUCUCCAGUGUUUGUUGGUAGUAGGGCCAGUGGAGAGAGGAUGGGAUCCUCAGUGCUCACAGCCUGAUCAGUACCUACCUGUUCUCAGCAUGACAUGCACCGUCGCUGCUGUGAGGUGAUCACCCGGGUGAGCCAAGAGUGCUUUCUAAAAAAGCCAAGUGACCUGGAAAUCAUCCACAGAGGACUCGGUUCUUCCCACUGCCUCACAGUUUGACAGGAGUCCUCCCUACCUGAGCAAGCACUAGACCAGAGGGAAUGGCGGUUGUCAUUGUCAUCAUCGUCGUCAUCAUCAUCGUCGUCUUCGUCAUAGUCAUCAGACGUGGUGUGGGUAGAGUGGGCACACGCAGGCCCCCGAGGGCCGUAUUCUCUUGUUUUCUCUUCUCUCUCUUUUUUUUUUACCUUUCUGUCUCCACUUUCUAGCUGGAGGUGAUUAAUACAAUAUCUAACUAUGGAA
This is a long non-coding RNA of Antechinus flavipes (yellow-footed antechinus), 523 nucleotides long. RefSeq lists it as uncharacterized. The record is from RefSeq and is a predicted model, not a curated record. The transcript is spliced from 3 exons. NCBI's taxonomy places the organism in Eukaryota, Metazoa, Chordata, Mammalia, Dasyuromorphia, Dasyuridae.